This 1447-nucleotide ribosomal RNA is filed under the name uncultured Bordetella sp. Its description in RNAcentral is "partial 16S-23S ribosomal RNA intergenic spacer". It matches the Rfam family "Bacterial small subunit ribosomal RNA". Lineage: Bacteria; Pseudomonadati; Pseudomonadota; Betaproteobacteria; Burkholderiales; Alcaligenaceae. The record is from RNAcentral.
GGUUCGAUUAUGGCUCAGAUUGAACGCUGGCGGGAUGCUUUACACAUGCAAGUCGAACGGCAGCACGGACUUCGGUCUGGUGGCGAGUGGCGAACGGGUGAGUAAUGGAACGUGCCUAGUAGCGGGGGAUAACUACGCGAAAGCGUAGCUAAUUACCGCAUACGCCUCAAAGAAAGCGGGGGACCCCGGGCCUCGCACUAUUAGAGCGGCCGAUAUCGGAUUAGCUAGUUGGUGGGGUAACGGCUCCACGGCGACGAUCCGUAGCUGGUUUGAGAGGACGACCAGCCACACUGGGACUGGGAGACACGGCCCAGACUCUACGGGAGGCAGCAGUGGGGAAUUUUGACAAUGGGAAACGCCCUGAUCCAGCCAUCCCGCGUGCGAUGAAGGCCUUCGGGUUCAAAGCACUUUUGGCGCAGGAAAGAAACGGCACGGGAUACCUGUGCAACUGACGGUACCUGCAGAAUAAGCACCGGCUAACUACGUGCCAGCAGUGCGGUAAUACGUAGGGUGCAAGCGUUGGAAUUACUGGGCGUAAAGCGUGCGCAGGCGGUUCGGAAAGAAAGAUGUGAAAUCCCAGAGCUUAACUUCUUUGGAACUGCAUUUUUAACUACCGAGCUAGAGUGUGUCAGAGGGAGUGGAAUUCCGCGUAGCAGUGAAAAUGCGCAGAUAUGCGGAGGAACACCGAUGGCGAAGGCUAACACUGACGCUCAUGCACGAAAGCGUGGGAGCAAACAGGAUUAGAUACCCUGGUAGUUCACGCCCUAAACGAUGUCAACUAGCUGUUGGGGCCUUCGGGCCUUGGUAGCGCAGCUAAUCGCGUGAAGUUGACGCCUGGGAGUACGGUCGCAAGAUUAAAACUCAAAGGAAUUGACGGGGACCGCACAAGCGGUGGAUGAUGUGGAUUAAUUCGAUGCAACGCGAAAAACCUUACCUACCCUUGACAUGUCUGGAAUCCCGAAGAGAUUUGGGAGUAUGCUCGCAAGAGAACCGGAACACAGGUGCUGCAUGGCUGUCGUCAGCUCGUGUCGUGAGAUGUUGGGUUAAGUCCCGCAACGAGCGCAACCCCUUGCCAUUAGUUGCCACGAAAGGGCACUCUAAUGAGACUGCCGGUGACAAACCGAUAGGGAUGACGUCAAGUCCUCAUGGCCCUUAUGGGUAGGGCUUCACACGUCAUACAAUGGUCGGGACAGAGGGUCGCCAACCCGCGAGGGGGAGCCAAUCCCAGAAACCUGAUCGUAGUCCGGAUCGCAGUCUGCAACUCGACUGCGUGAAGUCGGAAUCGCCAGUAAUCGCGGAUCAGCAUGUCGCGGUGAAUACGUUCCCGGUCUUGUACACCGCCCGUCACACCAUGGGAGUGGGUUUUACCAGUUAUAGUUAGCCCAACUGCAAGGAGGGCGAUUACCACGGUAGGAUUCAUGACUGGGGUGAAGUCGUAACAAGGCAA